UACGAAGGGGGCGAGCGUUAUUCGGAAUCACUGGGCGUAAAGCGUGCGUAGGCUGUUCUACAAGUCAGGAGUGAAAGCCCAAGGCUUAACCUUGGAAGCGCUCUUGAAACUGUAGGACUCGAGUUCGGGAGAGGAUAGCGGAAUUCUCAGUGUAGCAGUGAAAUGCGUAGAUAUUGAGAGGAACACCAGUGGCGCAAGCGGCUAUCUGGACCGACACUGACGCUGAGGCACGAAAGCGUGGGGAUCAAACAGG
This 253-nucleotide ribosomal RNA is filed under the name uncultured bacterium. RNAcentral describes it as "partial 16S ribosomal RNA". It matches the Rfam family "Bacterial small subunit ribosomal RNA", at positions 524 to 776 of the family's 1533-position model. The record is from RNAcentral.